RNAcentral lists this ribosomal RNA (253 nucleotides) under uncultured bacterium. RNAcentral describes it as "partial 16S ribosomal RNA". It matches the Rfam family "Bacterial small subunit ribosomal RNA", at positions 524 to 776 of the family's 1533-position model. The record is from RNAcentral.
UACGAAGGGUGCAAGCGUUACUCGGAAUUACUGGGCGUAAAGCGUGCGUAGGUGGUUUUUUAAGUCCGUUGUGAAAGCCCUGGGCUCAACCUGGGAAUGGCAGUGGAUACUGGAAAGCUAGAGUGCGGUAGAGGGUAGUGGAAUUCCCGGUGUAGUGGUGAAAUGCGUAGAUAUCGGGAGGAACACCAGUGGCGAAGGCGACUACCUGGCCUGUUCUUGACGCUGAGGCGCGAAAGCUGGGGGAGCAAACGGG